This 254-nucleotide ribosomal RNA is filed under the name uncultured bacterium. RNAcentral describes it as "partial 16S ribosomal RNA". It matches the Rfam family "Bacterial small subunit ribosomal RNA", at positions 524 to 776 of the family's 1533-position model. The record is from RNAcentral.
GACAGAGGGUGCAAACGUUGUUCGGAAUUACUGGGCGUAAAGCGCGUGUAGGCAGCGACUGCAAUUCGGGUGUGAAAGCCCUGGGCUCAACCUAGGAAGUGCACUCGAAACUGCAGGGCUUGAGUUCUGGAGAGGAAGGCGGAAUUCUCGGUGUAGAGGUGAAAUUCGUAGAUAUCGAGAGGAACAUCGGUGGCGAAGGCGGCCUUCUGGACAGUGACUGACGCUGAGACGCGAAAGCGUGGGGAGCAAACAGG